RNAcentral lists this ribosomal RNA (1434 nucleotides) under uncultured organism. RNAcentral describes it as "SSU rRNA". It matches the Rfam family "Bacterial small subunit ribosomal RNA". The record is from RNAcentral.
UAACACAUGCAAGUCGAGGGGCAUCCCUUUGAAAGCUUGCUUUCUUUGCCGGCGACCGGCGCACGGGUGAGUAACACGUAUCCAACCUGCCCUUUACUCGGGGAUAGCCUUUCGAAAGAAAGAUUAAUACCCGAUAGUAUAAUGAUUCCGCAUGGUUUCAUUAUUAAAGGAUUCCGGUAAAGGAUGGGGAUGCGUUCCAUUAGGUUGUUGGUGAGGUAACGGCUCACCAAGCCUUCGAUGGAUAGGGGUUCUGAGAGGAAGGUCCCCCACAUUGGAACUGAGACACGGUCCAAACUCCUACGGGAGGCAGCAGUGAGGAAUAUUGGUCAAUGGGCGCUAGCCUGAACCAGCCAAGUAGCGUGAAGGAUGAAGGCUCUAUGGGUCGUAAACUUCUUUUAUAUAAGAAUAAAGUGCAGUAUGUAUACUGUUUUGUAUGUAUUAUAUGAAUAAGGAUCGGCUAACUCCGUGCCAGCAGCCGCGGUAAUACGGAGGAUCCGAGCGUUAUCCGGAUUUAUUGGGUUUAAAGGGAGCGUAGGUGGACUGGUAAGUCAGUUGUGAAAGUUUGCGGCUCAACCGUAAAAUUGCAGUUGAUACUGUCAGUCUUGAGUACAGUAGAGGUGGGCGGAAUUCGUGGUGUAGCGGUGAAAUGCUUAGAUAUCACGAAGAACUCCGAUUGCGAAGGCAGCUCACUGGACUGCAACUGACACUGAUGCUCGAAAGUGUGGGUAUCAAACAGGAUUAGAUACCCUGGUAGUCCACACAGUAAACGAUGAAUACUCGCUGUUUGCGAUAUACAGUAAGCGGCCAAGCGAAAGCAGUAAGUAUUCCACCUGGGGAGUACGCCGGCAACGGUGAAACUCAAAGGAAUUGACGGGGGCCCGCACAAGCGGAGGAACAUGUGGUUUAAUUCGAUGAUACGCGAGGAACCUUACCCGGGCUUAAAUUGCAGUGGAAUGAUGUGGAAACAUGUCAGUGAGCAAUCACCGCUGUGAAGGUGCUGCAUGGUUGUCGUCAGCCCGUGCCGUGAGGUGUCGGCUUAAGUGCCAUAACGAGCGCAACCCUUAUCUUCAGUUACUAACAGGUCAUGCUGAGGACUCUGGAGAGACUGCCGUCGUAAGAUGUGAGGAAGGUGGGGAUGACGUCAAAUCAGCACGGCCCUUACGUCCGGGGCUACACACGUGUUACAAUGGGGGGUACAGAAGGCAGCUAGCGGGUGACCGUAUGCUAAUCCCAAAAUCCUCUCUCAGUUCGGAUCGAAGUCUGCAACCCGACUUCGUGAAGCUGGAUUCGCUAGUAAUCGCGCAUCAGCCACGGCGCGGUGAAUACGUUCCCGGGCCUUGUACACACCGCCCGUCAAGCCAUGGGAGCCGGGGGUACCUGAAGUACGUAACCGCAAGGAUCGUCCUAGGGUAAAACUGGUGACUGGGGCUAAGA